Molecule: ribosomal RNA, 622 nt
Filed under: uncultured bacterium
Lineage: Bacteria
Description: bacterial SSU rRNA
Rfam family: Bacterial small subunit ribosomal RNA
Source: RNAcentral
GGAUAACUACUGGAAACGGUAGCUAAUACCGCAUAACGUCGCAAGACCAAAGAGGGGGACCUUCGGGCCUCUUGCCAUCGGAUGUGCCCAGAUGGGAUUAGCUUGUUGGUGGGGUAACGGCUCACCAAGGCGACGAUCCCUAGCUGGUCUGAGAGGAUGACCAGCCACACUGGAACUGAGACACGGUCCAGACUCCUACGGGAGGCAGCAGUGGGGAAUAUCGCACAAUGGGCGCAAGCCUGAUGCAGCCUUGCCGCGUGUAUGAAGAAGGCCUUCGGGUUGUAAAGUACUUUCAGCGGGGAGGAAGGGAGUAAAGUUAAUACCUUUGCUCAUUGACGUUACCCGCAGAAGAAGCACCGGCUAACUCCGUGCCAGCAGCCGCGGUAAUACGGAGGGUGCAAGCGUUAAUCGGAAUUACUGGGCGUAAAGCGCACGCAGGCGGUUUGUUAAGUCAGAUGUGAAAUCCCCGGGCUCAACCUGGGAACUGCAUCUGAUACUGGCAAGCUUGAGUCUCGUAGAGGGGGGUAGAAUUCCAGGUGUAGCGGUGAAAUGCGUAGAGAUCUGGAGGAAUACCGGUGGCGAAGGCGGCCCCCUGGACGAAGACUGACGCUCAGGUGCGAAA